Molecule: ribosomal RNA, 343 nt
Filed under: uncultured fungus
Lineage: Eukaryota; Fungi
Description: SSU rRNA
Rfam family: Eukaryotic small subunit ribosomal RNA
Source: RNAcentral
GGUUCAUUCAAAUUUCUGCCCUAUCAACUUUCGAUUGUAAGGUCUUGGCUUACAAUGGUUUCAACGGGUAACGGGGAGUAGGGCUCGACUCCGGAGAAGGAGCCUGAGAAACGGCUACUACAUCCAAGGAAGGCAGCAGGCGCGCAAAUUACCCAAUCCCGACCGGGGAGGUAGUGACAAUAAAUACUGAUACAGGGCUCUUUUGGGUCUUGUAAUUGGAAUGAGUACAAUUUAAAUCCCUUAACGAGGAACAAUUGGAGGGCAAGUCUGGUGCCAGCAGCCGCGGUAAUUCCAGCUCCAAUAGCGUAUAUUAAAGUUGUUGCAGUUAAAAAGCUCGUAGUUG